GAGACACAGAAUCUGAAACAGGCUCCAGGCUCUGAGCUGUCAGCACAGAGCCCCACGUGGGGCUCAAACUCAUGGACCGCGAGAUCAUGACCUUAGCCGAAGUCGGCCACCUAACUGACUGAGCCACCCAGGCGCCCCAUAGUGGCCAUUUUUAAUAUGUAGCAGGGCAGGGUUUAGAUUUUCCUCUCCUUACUCAAGUCAGUUAAGGCAUUGCUUUCAAAAUGUUGUCAGGAGUGUAGAAUUCAAGUAAACUAGCUAGAGUAGUUUCUGAUGACACAACUACUACUUUAGGUAGAUAUUAAUUUAGUAGUCAUUCUGCAAAUGGCAUUGUACUUACGGAAUAGAAUUUUAAAAGCUACCCACCCUCAACUCCUUAUUAUCUAAAAAGCUUAUUUGAAUCGUCACUUAUCCUCAGUAAAGAUGGCUUUUACAUAUUUGCUGUCAUUGCAUAUUCUUGUUAAUUAGGUUCUUUGUUGAUACUGCAGUUUCUGUUUAUUCUUAUAUCUUAGAUGCAAUCUGAGGAAGCAGGAAAGACCUUUUAAAAAAAAACAAUUACUUCCCAGAUUCCAGAGAAAGUGUAAGUCAAAUGGACAGUUAAUUAAAGGGAGCAUAGAAUGCCACUUAGACUAUAAUUGGUGGUGCAAUCUCCAGCCUAAAGUCAAAAGUGGAGAGAAGUCUAGUAAGGAAAAAAAAAGUAUGGUGAUUUUGGAAGACAUUGUUUUAGUCUUCAAACCAUUUCCUUUAUUUGGUUUGAAAAUUAUGUGAGGCAGUAAAGUUAUAAAAUACAUUUCUUCUUAAAAUGUGUAAUAUGCUCAAACUAAAUAGAAAAACAGAUUCUUAAAAACAGAUAACUUUUUUUUUUUGCCUGAUACUUUUGAAAUAAGAAAUAUUAAGAGCCGUAUUACCAGUCAUGCUUGUGAUGACCAGCAUGGUCAUUAGAAAUAACGUAUCAUAUCCAAGGACAGAAAUUCUUUUGUUGUCAUGGGGAACCUUGAACACAGAAAAGAGCCUUUAAUGACAUAUUUCCGACACAUUUGGCAAUUAGCUUAAGGUGGUUUAAUGACAUACGUAGGAGAAGUUGAAUCAGCUAGGCCCUUAAUGUCAAAAAUACUGAAGUUUCCCUGACUCAACUCACUUAGAAUGAACUACAGGGGCCGUGGUGCAAAGUUAAAUAUCUAAGUAGAUCGGCUCAUUUUGCACUUUGGCAACCACGCCAUCCACAGGCACUCAGCCCCUUGCCCACAGUCACCUCCUUAAAGGCCUCUGGCUCCAAGGAGGAUUUGAUGGUAGCAAAGUGAAUGUGUCAGCAUUGUGCUUCCCUCCUAACAGAAAGGCAACCCAAAGAGCAUAUCCCGUUAACGCUAGAUCAGUAUCAUCUACUUGUCAAAAGCAUUCCGUCAAUUACGAGCUGAAUUUUAUUUAUGGCAGAGUUAUACACAUUAGGAAAUUAGAAUUUUAACUUAUUAGCUGGAAAAGUUGAGAAGUUCUCUGGACUCAUUUUUUUAGGUAGAAUCUAAGUGAUUUGGAUCAUUGCCCACCAGUAAAAUUGCUGGGCAUGGUCGACAAAGAAAAUGUUCCUUCUAAUGAUUUUUAUGAGCUGAGCAGCUAUUGUUCCCAGUUGAGUGCUCUUUUCCUUUUUUUAUUGUUGCUGAGCAAAAGAAUUUAUGAAAAGCUUUUUUUUUUUUUAUUAAAAACCCUGCUCAAUUGAAAUGCAAGUUCAUUAAGUACUAUUCAUUUCUCUUCCUGCCAUAAUAACCCCCUGUCCCCCUCUGCUCAAUUCAAUAGUGCCUAGCCACACUGGUCAACACUUUAAGUCUGAACAGACUACUAUAUAAUAUAGAUAUGCAAUCUCCAACAUCAAGAAAGAGUUUUAUUUCAGAUGGGCAGAGUAUGAUCACUCAGGCUAAAAUUGGCCAUAAAUUUCACAUUAGUUCCUCAAGGGGGGAAGAUGCCCCUGGAAAUUUAAAUCAACGGUGGGAAACUUAAUUCAAUUUUGACAAGAUGGAAAUCACAUUGAGCUAUUGGUUCAGUAUUGACAUCUAAGCAGUAGUGCUAAAGACUAAGAAAUUCGAAUCGGCUUGUUAGUGUAAGUUCAAGAGAUUUUAUUAAUAAUAGCAAAUAUUUGUUGAACACCAUGUGCCAAGCCUCCUACCUGCAUUUUCUCUUUUAAUUUCCACCGUACCCCUAAGAGAUAGUUACUAUCUGUAUCCCCCAUUUCACAGAUGGAGAAAGAGAGGUAAGGUCAGAGGAGUUUAGGAACCUUGCCAAAAAUUACAUAGUUAGUAAGCAGUGAAACUGGGAUCCAAAUCCAGUUUGGCUUGACUCUGAAGCACAUGCUCUUUACAUGCUCUAUUGUAUUAAACCAAUUCUGGACACAUGGGAAUCGUCGUAAAAUGGAGGGACUUGACUCAUUAUUUGCUUGUGAACCUUGGGUUAUAGAUUGUGAAAGGCUUGUGGGAAGGGUCGUGUCAUUUGGCGUUAUGAACAAGGAGUGCCUAAGGUCUUUUAUUCUGCCCUGGGAGCUUGUGAUAUCCAUCCAACUGCACAUACUGAGGGUUCACUUAAGGAGUUUAGCAGCGUGAGUUUCUGACUUCAGUGGGGAUGAGAUUUUAUUUGAAACUUUCAUGGGCAGAAGUUUCCUACGAAAACAUCUAGAGCAACGUUCAGAAGAUGGCUUGUGAAAUUGAAUCAGCAGACCUUGGGGGAGAAAUGAAGAAAUUGCUCGGUGUAAUAAAGAUGAGAAUAAGAAAGCUGAAUUUAUUGAAAGGAACAGAGAGGUAGUGAAAAAAUUAAGGUUAACAAGAGAGACAACUGAACCAAGAAGAGAUCACUUACAGCAUUUGAAAGAGAAUUGCCAGUGCUCAGUAGAACAUUUCAAAAUCAUUUGCCAAUAUUCCCAGCUGUGGACUGGGUUUAUUUGUUCAUGCCACGCUUUUAUGCCACAUUCCCAAAUUACAUUUUGCACAGUUAUAGGCUUGUCUAGUAGGACCCAUAGAUCUUUAGUCGCCAAUCUAAGAAUGUGUCUUGAGAUUAUCACUUAAUUUUCUAUGCUUUCAGAAAGGUGCUCUAAUCAAAUGGUGAAAAGAUUUCAAACUUCCAGAGAUUUAUAACUAUGCAUGACUCUCCUAUUCAUAGGAGAUUUGUGCGUUUCUUGAAUGUUAGAUACACAUGUAUUCAAGAAUAAGUACAUUCCAAAGCCAACUCCAGCAUCUUCCAUCUAUCUACUCUUAGAUUACCCUUGCCUUUGUUCUUUCCUUCUGUAAAUGUGGAUAAUCAGGAGUUGACUUCAGAAGUGUUUACGUUUUGGUUUCUCUGCCUCUGGAGUAGGAUGAAAUCUAAUAGUGUUUGUCCUGUGAUGGUGAGAUGCCAUACUGUAUCUGCGUGGUCUCUAUCUUUCAAGUUGUGCUGGCACAUUCUAUAGUACGGUGUUGCAGAAAGCCGCAUGUCCACACAGAAAUGCAACCUUCCCUGAUUAACCCUGCUUGGGUCUGAUUUUAUGCCUUGUUCCUCAGCUUCUUGGGACAUAGGUACUCAGUUAGCACUUGAUUCUGUCCCGGUUUACACUUACAUACUAUAUACUUGUUUGGGCUUUUCUCCCCUUGCAAGCAGAUUUUUUAACCUAAUAUGUAAAAAUUAAAUACAUACAUACAUAUAUACAUACACACUGUUGUGUUUGUUUUGCUUUAAAAUUGUAAAGGAUAAACUGUGGGAUACUUUUAGCUGUCUCAUUUUCCCAGCACAGUGAAAAUGAAGUCUGACUUGCUAAAAUUGAAUUUACACUCAAUUUUUUUCUGUCGUACAACUCUUGUAGAAAAGGCACUAAUCUUAUAUGUAACGUAACUUCGUCUACACUGAGCUUUCAUUCAGGCGCUGCUUUUAUUUCUACUUCAGGAGAUGCCUGGCCGGGUGUCCCUCAAGACACGGUAUUGAUUGGUUUACUUCUAAGGAUAACUGUCAGGCACCAAAAUUGUGAACAUGUGGAUUUUCUUAGAAGCCGUUAGUGAAACUUGGGUUUUUACCCUGCAUACCAAAAUAAGCAAGGGGGAAAAAAAAAUAGAAACGAGCCCAGUAAUACUUUAAAUUUUAUUUUUGUAGGUAUCUUGUAAUGCAAAAACCAAUUCCCUUGGUUUCCUUCUUCCUUGCCUCGGGUGUAUCCCUAGCAGUUUUUGGUCUGCGGCACUUCUAAAUGCCUAAACAACUCGAAACGUAGGCAUUGGUAGUGGAAAUGCUGACACAACCCGAACUGUUACCCCUAGAAUGUAUUACCAUGUGGGCACAGAUGCCAGAUUCCGUACUUAGUGUAAGUGAAGGAUAAGGCUACUACUGUUCAGUUUCCAGCUUCUCACAGGAGGGGAGUCCAGGUAGGUGUGGACCCUCUGUUUCUCCAGUCUCGCCCUUCAUCAUCCCACUGCCCCCACACAUGCCGUGCCCCAUAAAGUGGUCGCUUCGUAAUUACCUCCCACGGCCAGAGCGUGCAGCAGUCACUUAAGUGUUCUGGGAGGGUCUCGUGUUGUCCUGAGGCCCCAUCCUGUGAUCUGUUCUUCAGAUCGGUGGAGGAACCAGGACUGACGGUGUUGAGCCAACAUAGGGUGUGUCUGUCAUAAAAUACAAGCUUGAAUUUUGUUUCGUCGGGAAGGGAUGUUUUUCACAGCAGUCUGGUGAAUUAAGAACAGUAUACAGAAUCAUACGGUGAACGCGUUAUAUUUGGCUCUGCCGAUAGGAUUUAUGUAUGGAACAUCAAUUUUCUGUACAGACAUAAUUGAGUACAUAUUACCAUGGUGUGAGAACUGCAAGAAUGCGUAUGGUGUGUGGGAUGUUAAGUUUUAAGAAAUGUAACGAAGGGGAAAAUCAGAGAAACCUGAAAACAACGCAACUGAUAACAUUAACUUGAAUUUUUUUGCUCAGAAUACGUGUGAAGUAUGUAUGUUCUAUGCAGAAAUACAAAGACAAAUACAUUAUUUUAAUAUGUUGCCAUCUUCCUUUUGGGGUUGAAUUUUUUCGCAGAGCAAGAAUAACCUAGCGGGCAGUUCCUAGGGUCUGAUGUAUGGCUCAGUAACACUCUCAGUUUGUUAACAGCUUCUUCCCGUAGGGCUGUAAGUAAAGUGUGGUGUCAGGAGGUCUGAGGGUCUCUCCUACUUCCUACUAUCCAGGGAAUAGUGUGCUUUCCCCCAAAGCCUGGCUGAAAGUUGCUCUUGGGGAAAGAAGAAGAACCUGGCUGACAAAUCUGUCACCCGUUUGAAGAAUCAUCUGGAGCCACAAACAACCUAGUUAGUGGAGAUCAGCAGGAGUUUAGGCAGUAAUUGUCCAGAGCCCCAUUCAUUGGCGGUGGUGGAAUUAUUAUAGAAUAAUGUGACUUUAGGGGACAUAUUGAUCAACCGAAAGAGGUUUAAAGCUUCUCAGUGUUGGUGUUACAGUAACGGUUUCGACUUUCUGGAUUCAGUAAGGAAAUGCAUAGCAGUUGACUGCUUGACUUCAGGUUUUGUGUCCCCCCUGUGUUCCCCCAGUAGCAUCCGUUUCUGGUUCUUAGGCUGCCUAGCCUGAAACCGAGCUUUUGGUCUUUGCUGUCUGGGAGUUACACGCCCACAACGCGGCAGUCAGAGUUUUUCUUUCUCCUAAUAAACCAAACUGCCUUUGUCGUCUCCUACUCUUGGCCUCUUUUUCACCUUCGUACCAGUCACGCUUGCAUCAGGCUGGGAGCCGCCGCAGCAUCCGGCAUCGGGGCACUGGGGCGUGAUUCCUGCUGGGCUGUCGGUGAGCUCUGGGCCCACAGCCCAGCUCCCCAGCCUGCCUCGCCGCGUUUGCUCCUGCUGGAAUACCAUCCACCUACCUGCCCACAGAGUGAGACGGUGAGACCAAUGAGAAACAAGUGGGAAAUAAUGAGAGACACGUUGAAUGUUCUGGACACCUUGAAGAGACAUGUUUAUUCAAGUCAUUAUUAAUAUUUUUGCAAAGUAUGGCAACAUUGAUUUUUUUCAUCUGAGAACGAUUUUGCAUGUGUACAGAGUUGGAAUGUUGAAUUGAACCUUUCUCUUAUAAAUGGGCGAAGUACCUCACCCACCACCUAAUAGCACAGACUUUGAAGUUGCUAUUUUUUAUUUCCAGCUUCAGGCAUGAAUCUUUGCUCCAUUUUGUGGGUGGCCGGGAGAUAAUACUGCAUUAUUUUAAGUUUUCUACCUAGGGCUGGGUGUGUGAGCUGAUGUCGAGCACAUACACCAUUGUGCACAGGAUGCUCUGUGCAUCUAUGCUGCAAACUCGCCAGGCGCAAGGAUUUAAAUUUUUCCUUGGCAGCCCAGCCAGUCAGGUGUCCAACUAUACCUGGAAGCCAAUUAGUAUUUUUCACAGAGCCAGGUGCAAAGCUGCCAGGUAACAUCUGUAAGUGACUCGCGUGGCUCUGAUGGGAUCUGCAUAUGUUCAGCCCUAUAUGAAGAUGUUUUUCACUUGACACUGAGUCAUCUUUGGUCUUGUUCUCCACCCACUCCAUUAAGCAGACGCACCUACACAUGUUGCUGAUUUGAUUUGCUUUCAGACGAGGAUGGUGCCUCGAGUUUCUCUUCCUGAUGCUAGUAUUUCUGUAGAUGCCUCUUGGAAAACUAUCUGCCCAUCCAAAGUGCUUUCAGAGGGGACGGGACGACAAAUCCUUAUGUUAAUUAUCAAGGCAUUUUCUGAUAAUCCUGUAGGUCUGACCUAAAUUACCCAAUAAGGAUUUAUUUGAGGAUUUUGUGUUUUCUUUUUCAACAAUGUGUUUGAAGAUGGCGGUUUUCCUCAAAGAAAAGAACACACCUGAGUUCCUGUAACGUUGAGGACUGAAGACUUGGGUUCUAAUUGCCCUGGUUCCGCAGCUAAUGAGCUAUGUGACUUUGGGCAGGACACAGCCUUUUCGAAAUACUUGAAUGCGCUGCUUUCUCAGAUGCGUGCAAUCUGGAGAAGCACUUGUUCCCGAGUCACACAGAUCUAAGUUUAAAUCUCUGCUCCACCUUCUGUUAGUAGAGUGAUCUUGUGGAAGUUCUGUUUCCUGACCCAUAGAAUGGGUAUAAUAUUAUGUACCUCAGAGGGUUAUUUCCAGAGUUUAAAGAUUUCAUAGAUACGGAUGUGCGUGCUUGUUAGCGCCUGUGCACGGUAGCUUUUCCACAAAUGUUCAUUUUUACUGCUUGUCUCUUUGACUUUACUAGUUUUUUAUUUCAAGUACUACACAAACAUAAUAACAAUUAAAUGAUUUUUAAAGAAUGAAUAACAGGCACCUGGGUAGCUCAGUUGGUUAAGCGACCGACUCUUGAUUUCGGCUCAGGUCAUGAUCUCAGGGUUCGUGAGUUCGAGGCCCAUGUCAGGCUCUGUGUUGACAGCGUGGAGUCUGCUUGGGAUGCUGUCUCCCUCUCUCUGUGCCCCUCCCCUGCUUGCACUUUCUCUUUCUCUUAACAAACAAACAAAAAAUAAAAGAAUAAAAGAACGAAUAGCAAAUUACCAAUAAUUCCAACAUCUGAACAUCAACCAUUUUCUUUUUUCUGGGGCCCCUUCGAGUGCAUCUUAAUAUAGAGCCUUAGGAAUCUUCUAGAAAACCCCUGUGGACAAAUACACAGAUCUCUAGAUGGGAAAUCAAACUAUAUUUUACAAUGACAUUGUAAUAAAAUUAGAAUGUUUUUAUUGAAAUGAAUAACUGAUUAUCAAUAAUUGUGACUAAAUAAGAAUAUUUAUUCUUAUUUAUUUAACAGCUGAAAAAUCGAUCCAAGAGAAUUUAGAGAAAAAAAACAGUCCUUUGGCCAGCUUUACGGCAAAGCCAGUUAAUGGUGGCUGCUGUGAAGAAGUUAAGAACAAGAGUGUUGGAUGGGGAGGCUUCAUUUUUAUCAGACCUUUGCCCACAGGCGAAGAAAACUGAACGAGAGGAGUUGGAGAGGUUUGGCUCUAACUUUGCCCGGCUUAGCCUUUGCUAUUUCCACGCUUCCCUGCUUCUGACUCCAGACCUUGCCAGAAGCUGCAAAAAGGAGCCAACAUAACCCCAAAUCCUAAAUGCUUCUUACCAUUUCUCGUAACACUAUAGCCUCAGUAGGCAUGUGCUUUUGAUACAGGUUGGCUGGGUCCGAGGACCUAGAGAGAGUCCCACAGGACCAGCCAUGAGGGUCCCUUGGCUUCACACAGGAUGGAAAUCAAACAUGAGCCUAGAGGAAGUGAGAGUAGGGUUGUUGUUUAUUUUUUUAAUGUUUAUUUACUUCUGAGAGAGAGAGAGAGAGAGACAGAGAGAGAGAGAGAGAGAGACAGAGCACGAGCGGGGGAGGAUCAGAGAGAGAGGGAGACACAGAAUCCAAAACAGGCUCCAGGCUCUGAGCUGUCAGCACAGAGCCCGAUGCGGGGCUCGAACUCACAAACCGCGAGAUGGUAACCUGAGCCGAAGCUGGAUGCUCAACUGACUGAGCCACCCAGGCGGGGAUGUAGGAAGCAGGAAAAGUUUUACACAGGGUCCCUUUAAUUUGUCUGUUUCAGUUUGAAUCUCAGGCAUGAAAAUUAAGAGUCUGAAACAAAUGUCUUCCCACCACCUAGUAAGUGUUACCAGUAUCCCAGGCUUUAAUGGAAGUCCCCACUGCCCCUGUGCUGCCCCCUUGAUUCUGUCAUUCUGUAUUUUCAGUUAUAUUACUUGUGCCUCUCUGUUUAUUUCAACUAAAUGUAAAAAUACGUGUUUAGCUACAAGUAACAGAAAACCUGAAUUGCAGGGGCUUACACGAUAAGUAUGCUUUUAUUUCCUCAACAAGACGCCUGGAGGUAGGUGGUUCCUGGGUAAGUUUAGCAUUUCUAUGACAUCAAGACACACGACUGCCAUCUCAUUCAGUGUUUGGCCUUCUCCUCGUGGUCACAAGAUGGUUGCCACAGCUCCAGGCCCUAUAUCACGACCAAGAGGCAGAAAGGAGGGUCACAUACACGUGUUUUGCUUGUGUGCCUCCCACCUUCGAUCAGGGAGGGAAGCUCCUUCCCAGAGACCUCCCAGCAGUGUUCUGUUAGCACCACCUCAGUGGCAGAGGGGGCUUGGAACAUGAGCCUCUAGCGUUUUCACUCUAGAAUGGGAGGAGGGCAAAAGGGAAGGGGGAUUUGGAGAAGAGCCAGACAACAGUGUUUGCCAUGGGAUCAUGCCUAUUGAUCUUAGCCCUUCAACCUCCAAUUUGAAAACAGAGAUGAACCAUCUGUUUUUCCCUUCCUGGGGAGUUGCAAGUUAUGAAUAAAUUAUGCUGCCAGAGCUCCAUAGAGUCCUUAAAACAAAGCACUGUCAAUCCAAGGUCCUCAUUUCAUUAAACCCAUAUUAGUUUCUAUUGCUCAUUUGAUGGCAUCUGAUUGUUCCCUAGGAUAAGAUGUAUUGGCGGUAUUGGAGGGAGGAGAAAAUUACCUCAAAUCCACUCUGCCACCCCCCCUUCUCCCCCAGUGCUGAGUAAUCACGGGACCCCAACGUCCUCCAGUCUUUUCAGCGUAACCAGAGAGCUAAGGCUACAAGUUCAGGGCAGGGGGAUUGACAUGUUUGAGAAACCUCUGUGCUGGAGUCCUGAGAAGGCCUUUGGACGGAGAUACAUUAUUCAUGGAGCGAAUUUAGCCACCGGUGGCGAAGAUGGAGCAUCGGGGAAGCGCCGUGCCAUUACAUGCCCCUGAAAUGACACGUUUGUAAAGCUACCCAUCUGCCUUUCUGCCCCCACUAGGCGCCCCUCGCUCUAAUUCCAUCUUCCCAAUUUCCUGUGUCUCAGGACUCUUCAAAGGGUUUGGAAGCAGUUCUCUGGAUUUCUUGGAUGAAAAUGGCUAGAUGUAUUUAUUUCUAUUUUAAAAUAGCUUUGUGUUGUUUCCUCAUCAAAGUGUCACGUAUUUAUUUAUUUAUUAUUAUUAUUUUUUUUAAUUUUUAUUUAUUUUUGAGACAGAGAGAGACACAGCAUGAGCAGGGAAGGGGCAGAGAGAGAGGGAGACACAGAAUGUGAAGCAGGCUCCAGGGUCUGAGCUGUCAGCACAGAGCCCGACGCGGGGCUCGAACUCACGAACUGUGAGAUCAUGACCUGAGCCGAAGUCGGACGCUCAACCGACUGAGCCACCCAGGUGCCCCAAAGUGUCACGUAUUUAAUUUGCGGUCUGUUUUGUCUUGCCUCGUAGUCUUUUACAUAGAGGACUGGCUCUUCUUAUCUGGGGUGCAGUCUGCUAGCCCUCCCUCAUGAUGGCUCGCCCUGGGCCAGUUCAAGUCUGUUUUACUUCAGGACGGGCAGUGGACGGCCCAAAGCCAGAUGCCCCUGCGCUUCCCUCCUCCUAUUCUCAACGCAGUUAAGAAAAAAAUAAAGGUAACUCCUUCCAAAAAGAAAAUUCCCUUUCUUUUUCAGAAGAUACUUCCUUUGGAAGCGGGCCUGGCUAAUGGCUGAUUAUGGACCCACAGGUCUAAACCAGAAAGCUUGCACACGCAAGAGGCCUUCAAGGGGGCCUUGAAGGAUCAAACACAGUCAUGUAGUCCUUAUUGUCAUUUGUGGCCUGAGUCCUUUCAGUUGGCCCAGACUUCCCAUGCCAAAGGGCUGGGAACAGGCAGACAAGAGCUCGUACUGCCACACCCCCCACACUUCUCUCUCCUGCAUCGCACCUACGUCCCUUGUUUUCCGCUUCCCUCCUCAGGUCCUCAUUGCUUUGCCCACCUGUCUCAGUUGUACCUCUCUGACGCAAUGUGUUUCUUGCUCCCUGGUGCUUGGGGGCCAAACACAGGAGCCCUCCCGCCAAGCAACCACUCCAGGCUUCUAGGGACCCACGCUGCUCUGGUUGGCCUAUAGCUUCCCCAAGUUCAUCAUCCCUGGAUCUUGGAACUUGAACUGGCUUCCCCAGUUUUCUGGAUUUGGUCUGCGUCUUUCCUAGACCAUGGUCCUUUCCUCUGCUUCCCCCCCCACCUUGUGCUCUAGCCAGAGCUGUUCUAGUCCCCCAAAAUAGAAAUGCUGCAUGCUCUCCAUGCCAAGGCCAUCCCAACGGGCUCUCACCUCCAUGGGCUGCUGGGGCUUAUUUGUGAGCCCUGACUUGAUAUCUGCUUUCCAAGAGUGCCAAUGGACUCACAAUACCAUCCAAAUGGCCCUGAAUCCAUUAGUUUGAAACAGUCAGUCACAAGGAAUUUGCAGCCCAGAUGUCAACUAGGAUCCUUGUGCCUUUGAGAUUCAAAUGACGUCGGCUUUAAAGCACACUGAAAAAAAUAUGAGAUCCCGUCUGCCCAGAUCCCAUGUCUACGUACUCUCUUUACUUACUGUGUGAUUUUGUGCAGAUGACGU
This is a long non-coding RNA of Acinonyx jubatus (cheetah), 11246 nucleotides long. RefSeq lists it as uncharacterized. NCBI's taxonomy places the organism in Eukaryota, Metazoa, Chordata, Mammalia, Carnivora, Felidae. The transcript has 3 exons. The record is from RefSeq and is a predicted model, not a curated record.